This 417-nucleotide ribosomal RNA is filed under the name uncultured bacterium. RNAcentral describes it as "bacterial SSU rRNA". It matches the Rfam family "Bacterial small subunit ribosomal RNA", at positions 362 to 776 of the family's 1533-position model. The record is from RNAcentral.
UAUUGGUCAAUGGGCGCUAGCCUGAACCAGCCAAGUAGCGUGAAGGAUGACUGCCCUAUGGGUUGUAAACUUCUUUUAUAUGGGAAUAAAGUGCAGUAUGUAUACUUCUUUGCAUGUACCUUAUUAAUAAGGAUCGGCUAACUCCUUGCCAGCCGCCGCGGUAAUACGGAGGAUCCGAGCGUUAUCCGGAUUUAUUGGGUUUAAAGGGAGCGUAGGCGGGUUGUUAAGUCAGUUGUGAAAGUUUGCGGCUCAACCGUAAAAUUGCAGUUGAUACUGGCAUCCUUGAGUACAGUAGAGGUAGGCGGAAUUCGUGGUGUAGCGGUGAAAUGCUUAGAUAUCACGAAGAACUCCGAUUGCGAAGGCAGCCUGCUGGACUGUAACUGACGCUGAUGCUCGAAAGUGUGGGUAUCAAACAGG